This 250-nucleotide long non-coding RNA is filed under the name Elaeis guineensis (African oil palm). RNAcentral's name for it is "long non-coding RNA (EGUI_LNC038391)". Lineage: Eukaryota; Viridiplantae; Streptophyta; Magnoliopsida; Arecales; Arecaceae. The record is from RNAcentral.
GGGACACUGCCACAUGUAUGUAAACUUAAACAUUAGACGAUUGGAUCAUGGUUCCACUGAAAUGAGUUGGUGUAGAGAACGUAGCUUACCCUGAUGACCUGGGCAGGCCUAUCUUUGACGCCAUGGGUGAAGACCAGAUAAUAAAGCCCUAAAAGCAUCAACACUGGCAUCUCCUUUUGGACCAUGUUGACAUGACUAUUAGCACCCAUGCUCCUCACCUUUGCCCCUGCCAAUCCUUCCAAAGACUCUC